GCUCGAGUGGCGAACGGGUGAGUAACACGAGAGUAACCUGCCCUUGACUUUGGGAUAACUUCAGGAAACUGGGGCUAAUACCGGAUAGGAGCUCCUGCUGCAUGGUGGGGGUUGGAAAGUUUCGGCGGUUGGGGAUGGACUCGCGGCUUAUCAGCUUGUUGGUGGGGUAGUGGCUUACCAAGGCUUUGACGGGUAGCCGGCCUGAGAGGGUGACCGGCCACAUUGGGACUGAGAUACGGCCCAG
Molecule: ribosomal RNA, 244 nt
Filed under: uncultured Actinomycetales bacterium
Lineage: Bacteria; Bacillati; Actinomycetota; Actinomycetes; Actinomycetales
Description: partial 16S ribosomal RNA
Rfam family: Bacterial small subunit ribosomal RNA
Source: RNAcentral